Molecule: non-coding RNA, 541 nt
Organism: Pelobates cultripes (western spadefoot toad)
Lineage: Eukaryota; Metazoa; Chordata; Amphibia; Anura; Pelobatidae
Source: the annotation of a GenBank genome assembly
UCAAGGUAUGACGUUUAAUUCAUAGUUUACCAGCCAUAUAGUAGGUUUUUUUAUUUUUUUUUUAAUAGUUUUGUACCACAAUUUAAUCAAAGCACUGCAUUUAGUACACAAUGUACCUAUUAACAUAUAUACUGUUUUAUCCCCUUCUCAAGUACUCUCUUUGCAUUAAAAGUGAGAAGUCUACUAACAGGCCUCUGCUUCACCAGCAGAUGGCUCUGGUUGGUUAGAGUCAUCUAUUAAACCACUACUUGGUUAUCAAACAAUAGACAGUAUUAAAAGGUUUCCUUGGUGGAGUUCCUGUGCCAGGACACCUAGUACAAUCUAUUCAUCAGCUCACCACUUGAAGAUUUUCAGAUAUUUAUUCCAGUAUCACACACAAAAGUGGCCACAGCACUGUCUGGUGCCUUUAUUGAUAAAGAGGUUAAAUAGAUAUGAUUAAUCCAAGGUGGUCACGGCCAUAAGACUUGAUGCUAGCACUGUGAUUGCUUACUUUGAAUACAUCACAUGAUUUGACUCUCCUUUAGAUGCUUGUAUGGUACAC